UGGGGAAUUUUGGACAAUGGGCGAAAGCCUGAUCCAGCAAUGCCGCGUGUGUGAAGAAGGCCUUCGGGUUGUAAAGCACUUUUGUCCGGAAAGAAAUCCUUGGCUCUAAUACAGUCGGGGGAUGACGGUACCGGAAGAAUAAGCACCGGCUAACUACGUGCCAGCAGCCGCGGUAAUACGUAGGGUGCAAGCGUUAAUCGGAAUUACUGGGCGUAAAGCGUGCGCAGGCGGUUUGCUAAGACCGAUGUGAAAUCCCCGGGCUCAACCUGGGAACUGCAUUGGUGACUGGCAGGCUAGAGUAUGGCAGAGGGGGGUAGAAUUCCACGUGUAGCAGUGAAAUGCGUAGAGAUGUGGAGGAAUACCGAUGGCGAAGGCAGCCCCCUGGGCCAAUACUGACGCUCAUGCACGAAAGCGUGGGGAGCAAACAGGAUUAGAUACCCUGGUAGUCCACGCCCUAAACGAUGUCAACUAGUUGUUGGGGAUUCAUUCCUUAGUAACGUAGCUAACGCGUGAAGUUGACCGCCUGGGGAGUACGGUCGCAAGAUCAAUUAAACUGAAAUGAAUGCGGGGUCAUAGCUGUUUCCU
RNAcentral lists this ribosomal RNA (585 nucleotides) under uncultured bacterium. RNAcentral's name for it is "partial 16S ribosomal RNA". It matches the Rfam family "Bacterial small subunit ribosomal RNA", at positions 355 to 1375 of the family's 1533-position model. The record is from RNAcentral.